This is a long non-coding RNA of Numida meleagris (helmeted guineafowl), 431 nucleotides long. RefSeq lists it as uncharacterized. The transcript has 3 exons. The record is from RefSeq and is a predicted model, not a curated record. Lineage: Eukaryota; Metazoa; Chordata; Aves; Galliformes; Numididae.
GCUAGAGAUCCCUACCUCCCUGAGGUCUUCCAAUGUCACAUUCUUUCCUGAGGUAUUACUUUGCUGUUCUAAAGAAGUAAUGUAGAUAACAAAGAAGCAUGAAGAAGUGUCGAAAGGUGGAGAAAGAAAGUUUCCUCUCUUAUUGCAAGGCUUCAGUGAUAUGAAGAUCAAAGAGCUGAAGUUUGUUAUUAUACCCAGCUGUGGUUAUAAUACUUCCAUGGAACAGUGGAUAGCACCAAUCAAGACAGAGCAAGUAGCAUUUGUUGUGAUUCUUAAGAGAUUUCCCAUUAUGGCAGUCGGUGCUCGCUAGAUCUUCAAGGGUUUGUGUUAAUUUUUCCAUAUUGUAGCAUUAUCUCAAGUGUAACAUUUACUUGAAAAUUUCAGAUAAUAUUAUCUAUUUUCCAGAAUGAAAGUAGACCAAUAAAUAUUGG